CAUGUGCAAACACCUAGUUGCGGGUACAGCAACGUGCAGUAAACUUGGACAAAGUACUGUGACUAUGUGUCCCAGUCCACCCAGCUGUAAAUGGGUACCUCGUAAGGAUGGGAAAGCUGCAUAACUCGGUGCACCUUGUGGCAGCACGAGUUGUAUACUCCCCAGGGAGUUAAGAUUGAUAAGAUGAGGUGCCAUUGAGUUUGAU
Haliotis rubra (blacklip abalone) is the source of this 205-nucleotide long non-coding RNA. RefSeq lists it as uncharacterized. NCBI's taxonomy places the organism in Eukaryota, Metazoa, Mollusca, Gastropoda, Lepetellida, Haliotidae. The transcript is spliced from 3 exons. The record is from RefSeq and is a predicted model, not a curated record.